Molecule: ribosomal RNA, 494 nt
Filed under: uncultured bacterium
Lineage: Bacteria
Description: partial 16S ribosomal RNA
Rfam family: Bacterial small subunit ribosomal RNA
Source: RNAcentral
GACGAACGCUGGCGGCGUGCUUAACACAUGCAAGUCGAACGGUGAAGCGCCUUCCUUUUUGGUGGGUGUGGAUGAGUGGCGAACGGGUGAGUAACACGUGAGUAACCUGCCCCCUUCUUCUGGAUAACCGCAUGAAAGUGUGGCUAAUACGGGAUAUUCUGGGUCUGUCGCAUGAUGGGUCUGGGAAAGAUAUUGUUUCGGUGGGGGAUGGGCUCGCGGCCUAUCAGCUUGUUGGUGGGGUGAUGGCCUACCAAGGCGGUGACGGGUAGCCGGCCUGAGAGGGUGGACGGUCAUACUGGGACUGAGACACGGCCAAGACUCCUACGGGAGGCAGCAGUGGGGAAUAUUGCACAAUGGGCGCAAGCCUGAUGCAGCGACGCCGCGUGAGGGAUGGAGGCCUUCGGGUUGUGAACCUCUUUCGCCAGUGAAGCAGGCCUGCCUCGUUUGUGGGUGGGUUGACGGUAGCUGGAUAAGAAGCGCCGGCUAACUACGUG